UGGAUUGAUCCUGGCUCAGAUUGAACGCUGGCGGCAUGCCUUACACAUGCAAGUCGAACGGCAGCACGGGGGCAACCCUGGUGGCGAGUGGCGAACGGGUGAGUAAUACAUCGGAACGUGUCCUGUAGUGGGGGAUAGCCCGGCGAAAGCCGGAUUAAUACCGCAUACGAUCUACGGAAGAAAGCGGGGGAUCGCAAGACCUCGCGCUAUAGGGGCGGCCGAUGGCAGAUUAGCUAGUUGGUGGGGUAAAGGCCUACCAAGGCGACGAUCUGUAGCUGGUCUGAGAGGACGACCAGCCACACUGGGACUGAGACACGGCCCAGACUCCUACGGGAGGCAGCAGUGGGGAAUUUUGGACAAUGGGGGAAACCCUGAUCCAGCAAUGCCGCGUGUGUGAAGAAGGCCUUCGGGUUGUAAAGCACUUUUGUCCGGAAAGAAAACUUCUGCCCUAAUACGGUGGGAGGAUGACGGUACCGGAAGAAUAAGCACCG
This 491-nucleotide ribosomal RNA is filed under the name bacterium PML14. RNAcentral describes it as "bacterial SSU rRNA". It matches the Rfam family "Bacterial small subunit ribosomal RNA", at positions 9 to 495 of the family's 1533-position model. The record is from RNAcentral.